CGGGGGGCUGCAGUAGGGAAUAUUGCGCAAUGGCCUAACGGCUGACGCAGCAACGCCGCGUGGAUGACGAAGCUUUUCGGAGUGUAAAAUCCUUUCAGUGGGGAAGAAUGUGUCUUCGGACGCUUGACGGUACCCACAGAAGAAGCACCGGCUAACUCCGUGCCAGCAGCCGCGGUAAUACGGGGGGUGCAAGCGUUGUUCGGAUUUACUGGGCGUAAAGCGCACGCAGGCGGGCUGUCAAGUCGGAUGUGAAAACCAGGAGCUUAACUCCUGGCCUGCAUACGAUACUGGCAGUCUUGAGUACCGGAGAGGAUGGCGGAAUUCCUGGUGUAGCGGUGAAAUGCGUAGAUAUCAGGAAGAACACCGGUGGCGAAGGCGGCCAUCUGGACGGAUACUGACGCUCAGGUGCGAAGGCUAGGGGAGCAAACAGGAUUAGAUACCCCAGUAGUC
RNAcentral lists this ribosomal RNA (450 nucleotides) under uncultured candidate division TA06 bacterium. RNAcentral's name for it is "bacterial SSU rRNA". It matches the Rfam family "Bacterial small subunit ribosomal RNA", at positions 342 to 795 of the family's 1533-position model. The record is from RNAcentral.